UGAUUACCUCUCAACAGUGUAAGUGCAAGUUCAACUUACUAAAUUGCCUAGAAGUACUCAGUUUCAUGUAGAAAUUAAUGUGUGGCUUUAUAUGACACAUAUUAUUUUAGCCUUUAAUCUGUGAAAGCAAUAGUAUUUUCAAUAUUGUUGAAGUAACUCACAUUCUCACUUGUUAUACUACAUUUCUGGAUGUUUUCAGAAUUUUCUGGUGGCAUCAGCCACUUCAGUGCUUUUGAGUAGCUCACCUGCUAUGAAGAAACACAGUGUUUUAUUUAUUAUGAGGUUCUGUAAUAAUACCAUUAAGAGCCCUUGGAGGAUGGAGCUUUUCCAUGAAAUUUACAGAGCUAUUUGUGCCAAAUUGUUGUGGAAAUUUGGUCAGUUUAUGUGCAAUUACUCAUAGUCCUACACCAAGGUUCAUAUCAAUGCUUUUCUAGAACUGCUUUUAACCAGCUGCAUUCAGAAUAGUAAACAGCAGGAUAUAUCAUUUGCAGCUGUUUCAUAUUUUCCUCAGUCAUUGCUCCUAGAUGCAUUUAACCAUAAUCAGAUUCAUUAAACAGAAUAAAAAAUAACAUGUCUGUCCAUCACUGGAGAGGGCAGAUUAUCGUGCAACUUGGAAUGUGGUUUUCGGAGAUUUAGUGAGUACAGUAAGGGGUUUGGAAGUAGCAACGCUUCACAUACCAAAACCAACUCAUAGUAUGCAAAUAAAAAGAGUAAUUGAAACAAUUUAUUACUAAACUUAGUUUUUCUUCCAUUGUCUUUCCAUGCAAGCAAAAUCUCUGAAAAUGUGUCUACUAAGAUAAGAGAGAGAAUUUAUUUACUAUUAAAAAUAUAAUUGAAAACCAUUGGUAUUUUGUUCAGUGGAUAUUGAACAAGGUAUGCCUUCAUUUCUCAUAUGUGGGAUUUUAGCCUUUUUCUAGCAACUAAUGAGACUGCUGAAGAGCCAUGGGGCUUCAUUGUCUAGUGAGGCUGAUACAGUCAGUGUACUCAGGGUGUGAUAAUAAUCAUGAUGAUGAGGUUAUUUUAAGAUGUUCUUUUUCUGCAUACUUUCAGAAAGACAGCUAUCACCAAAAUGGGGAAAAAAGGAGAAUAAAUCAAAAGGAAACAUGUUCAGCUAAAGACAGGCAGGCGAGACCAAGCCACCUCAGGAUAUAAUAGUGCUGUUCUCCUCCAGGAAGUUUUGUAUUUGUUUGUGCAAGAGCACUACCAGCAGAAACCUUGAACCCUGCAGAGCAUGUAUUGUGACUGCUACAAGUGGCCAGCCAUACUUACGGUGUGGAAUUUGUCUAACACGGAACUUCUGCCACAGAAGCAGGAGUCAAGUAGCUACUAGGGGGGAUGCAUGUAUGUUACCCUUUAUCUGGUUGUGCACAUCUAGUAGUUCAAGGCUGGAAUAAACAUAGCAGAAGUUGAAGUGAGUUCUAAAUUUCAACAAAGGUGUGGCAUCCAGAUAGCACAUUCCUCCCAGUCCUAUACUGUCAUUUGCUUCUGCAGUUUGGAGAGGCCUCCUGCAAUCAUGAGCAGCUCAUUAAUCAGCAACUCUUGUAGAUUGUAAGAUCAGUCUCCACCCCCCCUUUAAAUAAGCCUAGACCUAGAUUUCAUCUUCAAAUUUUAUCUAGUACAUAUUCUUCCAAGGACAUUCAUUCACAUGGGAAGAAAUAUGAAGUAUGUUAAAAGAAUUUAUUACAGAGGGUGUGAACUUUCUAUGUCAAAGCUAAAUCCUGUUGCAAUAUUUGAGUUCAAAAUGCUACAUUAACCCUCUAAAGCAUAAUCUCUACAUGUAUGUUCGUAAAGUCUUCAAAGUUCUGGCUAGUGACUACUACUCUUUGAUUAUAAUUUCUGAAGCAUAUGCUAAAAAAGCUUUUGUAACAUUAAAGAGAUGAUAAUAUGUUGCAGUUUUCUUGUUGCAUAAUAUAACCACUUUCAGAACAACAUGAAAAGUUGAGUAUUUUUUAUGGAACUUAUACAUCAAAUUGUUGCUUCUUUAUUCUAGCAACUGCUAAUUGAUUUAACAUUUUCCUUUAAGCAUAAGGGACUUUGUGAUAUCAUCUUUGGCUCAACUCUUUCUAGCUGCCAGUUGUACCAAUUUUUAAAAAAUGUGUCUCUUUCAUGCAGCUCAGAAAGACAAAAUUUAAAAUCUUAAUUGUAAGGAUAGCAUUAUGAAGGUUUUGCUGUCAGUACAUGUAAAUAUCUAAUAAAAUAAAUAGUUCUGUGUGCUUG
This is a long non-coding RNA of Melopsittacus undulatus (budgerigar), 2217 nucleotides long. NCBI's taxonomy places the organism in Eukaryota, Metazoa, Chordata, Aves, Psittaciformes, Psittaculidae. The record is from Ensembl.